CGCGUAGGCGGGCUGUUAAGUCGGGGGUGAAAUCCCGGGGCUCAACCCCGGAACUGCCCUCGAUACUGGCAGCCUAGAGGUCUGGAGAGGCGAGUGGAAUUCCGAGUGUAGAGAUGAAAUUCGUAGAUAUUCGGAGGAACACCAGUGGCGAAGGCGGCUCGCUGGCCAGAUACUGACGCUGAGGUGCGAAAGCGUGGGGAGCAAACA
RNAcentral lists this ribosomal RNA (207 nucleotides) under uncultured bacterium. Its description in RNAcentral is "partial 16S ribosomal RNA". It matches the Rfam family "Bacterial small subunit ribosomal RNA", at positions 568 to 774 of the family's 1533-position model. The record is from RNAcentral.